RNAcentral lists this transfer RNA (85 nucleotides) under Bryopsis plumosa. RNAcentral describes it as "tRNA-Lys". It matches the Rfam family "tRNA". From Rfam's summary of the family: Transfer RNA (tRNA) molecules are approximately 80 nucleotides in length. Their secondary structure includes four short double-helical elements and three loops (D, anti-codon, and T loops). Further hydrogen bonds mediate the characteristic L-shaped molecular structure. tRNAs have two regions of fundamental functional importance: the anti-codon, which is responsible for specific mRNA codon recognition, and the 3' end, to which the tRNAs corresponding amino acid is attached (by aminoacyl-tRNA synthetases). tRNAs cope with the degeneracy of the genetic code in two manners: having more than one tRNA (with a specific anti-codon) for a particular amino acid; and 'wobble' base-pairing, i.e. permitting non-standard base-pairing at the 3rd anti-codon position. The record is from RNAcentral. RNAcentral also lists the same sequence under 1 other name. Lineage: Eukaryota; Viridiplantae; Chlorophyta; Ulvophyceae; Bryopsidales; Bryopsidaceae.
GCGUCCUUGCACAGAAUUGGUAAUGUAGCGAGCUUUUAACUCGUCACCCGUUAGGGUAUUGUAGGUUCAAGUCCUACAGGGCGCA